Molecule: non-coding RNA, 2000 nt
Organism: Aegilops tauschii subsp. strangulata
Lineage: Eukaryota; Viridiplantae; Streptophyta; Magnoliopsida; Poales; Poaceae
Source: RefSeq, a predicted model, not a curated record
CCAGCCUAACCCUAAUCACUCUUCUCCCAGGUCCUCGCCUACCAACCUUCAGCCGCCGCCACUCUACCUAUCCUCCUCGUGCCACUCCACCGGCGUCGGCGCUGAACCACCCCGCGCCGCUUCACCGAAGCCGGCGCUGAACCACCCCACGCCGGGCCGCUCCCCACCAUUCCCCUCCCCACCAUUCCCCUCCCCUCACCAUUCAGAUCUCCAUCAGUCCUACCCCUCGAGCCGAGGCGGCAGCGGUGGCAGCGGGACCAACGGCCGGACUUGGAAGUCCCCGAGGUCACCGGCGGCGGGGCCGUCAGCAGGAUUUGGAAGUCCCCGAGGUCACCGGCGGCGGGCACGGAUCCAGCUCCAUCCGACGGAGAGCCCAUGUCGGUUUCAUGGGGAUGGUUAGCUGCAAGGCGGAGCGGAACACAUACGUGUCCUUCACGCUCGACGACGGCACCGACUGCAUCGAUUUCAUCAGAUGAACUGCUUGUGUGUCCAUCUGUGACAAUGGCUGCUGGUCAGUUUGUCUAUUUCUUGCCUUCCUUGCUCCCUAGUGAUGUUCAUUAUACUAUCUCUUAGGAACCUCAAUUACUUAUUUCUGUCUACUCUGAGGUAUUUGUUCAGUUUCAAUCUGAAUCGCCUAACUUGGAGUGCAAUCCGCAUUGAGCUGGUAUAUCUCGAAUGUAUGCAACAGUAUUUAACUACUAGAUGUAAAUGUAAAAAAUGUUGAUAUAACUUCAAACAUUUUAAUUUUGGAAGACAAUGAUUACCCCAAUGCAAUUGGAGUUCAGUCAGUGUUUACUAUUGCUCACUUGUUAUACAGUGUACUGUCUAUCUAUGUUAGAACACUUGUUGGUUCCUUUAGGAAUGGUAAAUCUCACCAUGGACUCAUUGUUUGGGCAACAAAAAACACUUGUGUUUAUUAUUAGUAAUCUUAUGCCAAUUGACAAUUAUUACUGAGCAAACAGAAGUGAUGGCCGCAUUGUGAAGAGCACCUUAUAUAUGCGUCAGGUUUGGUCACCUCUGAAUGUUCAGACAGUUGUGGUGGUGUAUCCACAUCAGAUUUUUAUUAAAACCUGAAGUAAUAUUGUAUUUCUUUAAUGUGGUCAAUACUUUCAUGUAGUCUGGAACAUGAUGAGUCACUAUUGCGCAUGUUUCAGUAUGCCAAAGCUGAAAACAUGUGUGGCACAUCUUGCGAAAACUAUCUUACUUUUGGUUGUGUCGUGUGUGCUAUCUCUGCACCUGCACUUGCAUGCUAUUGGACAGCUUAAUCUUAUGCUAAUAACUAUGCAUUAUUACUAUAUGACAUGUAAAGUUAAUUUAAGAUGACCGAUCAUUUGGCUAGCUCCACACAUGUUACAGUGUUAUACUCUGUCACCUAGCUAGCUUGUCAUAUCAGGGUAAAUAUUUUGGUUUGGCAUGGCUAUCAUAAGCAGAUGAUGCUUUUGUAAUCCUUUUUCUUUUCUAUUGGUGGCGUGUCUAACAUUGCCAAUACCAUGAUGUGGUCUAUGUUCAUUCACAGUUCACCAUGAUGGCAGGGUGCGGCAACACGCUCCUUCAGGUUCUAGUAUGUUCGUAAUUUACCAAUGUAAAUGCUGAAAUCUAUUAAUUCAGUGUACCAUCGUUGUCUCAUAGGUCCUGAACAUGCUUAACUGGGAACUUAACUGGGAAGCUCAGAAUGCUAAUUCAUGUCAAUUGUAAACUAGCAUCCCUUUGUGAUUUAUGAACUUUGAGGUUGGCACUCAGCUGGAGAUUGAAGUUUUUAGCAGGAAUUACUUGGCCUCGAAUAACUACCUGGAAGCAUUAGUGGUGUAGUGUUGGAGAUUAAAUCCAGCUAGUAGUAUAUUUACUCGAAAUUUUUAAAAAUAAUGCUUAUAGUUCUUUCUAGAUAUGUGUGUGAUGUUUUGAUACAAAUAUUUGUUUUCAGAAAUCAGUCUAGAUUGUUGGAAGUUUGUAUUUUCUUACGACCAGAUGCUAUUGUGUGAAUGAAUUUGUCUUGUUGCAAA